RNAcentral lists this transfer RNA (73 nucleotides) under Roseisolibacter agri. RNAcentral's name for it is "tRNA-Thr". It matches the Rfam family "tRNA". Rfam says of the family: Transfer RNA (tRNA) molecules are approximately 80 nucleotides in length. Lineage: Bacteria; Pseudomonadati; Gemmatimonadota; Gemmatimonadia; Gemmatimonadales; Gemmatimonadaceae. The record is from RNAcentral.
GCCACAGUAGCUCAGUGGUAGAGCACCCGAUUCGUAAUCGGGCGGUCGUGAGUUCAAUCCUCACCUGUGGCUC